UACGUAGGGUGCGAGCGUUAAUCGGAAUUACUGGGCGUAAAGUGGGCGCAGGCGGCGUUGCAAGUCGAGUGGGAAAUCCCCGAGCUUAACUUGGGAAUUGCGCUCGAAACUACGAUGCUCGAGUGUGGCAGAGGAAGGUGGAAUUCCACGUGUAGCGGUGAAAUGCGUAGAGAUGUGGAGGAACACCGAUGGCGAAGGCAGCCUUCUGGGCCAACACUGACGCUCAUGCACGAAAGCGUGGGGAGCAAAAGGG
This 253-nucleotide ribosomal RNA is filed under the name uncultured bacterium. RNAcentral's name for it is "partial 16S ribosomal RNA". It matches the Rfam family "Bacterial small subunit ribosomal RNA", at positions 524 to 776 of the family's 1533-position model. The record is from RNAcentral.